Long non-coding RNA from Musa acuminata AAA Group (dessert banana), 1160 nucleotides. RefSeq lists it as uncharacterized. The transcript has 4 exons. Lineage: Eukaryota; Viridiplantae; Streptophyta; Magnoliopsida; Zingiberales; Musaceae. The record is from RefSeq and is a predicted model, not a curated record.
UUCCCUUCUUCCUCGUUGCACGAUCGGAGAGUAAUAUGGAGGAUCAGCGUCGAAUAAGACCAAGGCGCCAUCGACCGUAAAUUCUUCAGGGUGCAUCCAUCGCGCUGAUUUGUGCCACUCUGAGGUGGCCCACUUGUGGGUUCGCCAGCUGCAUCCAAUCACAGUGUGGGUGGGUGGUGUAUCGCCCAUCCGUUGUACCAAGCACGGAUGGUUUCUUUUCUUAUAAACCAUAGCUCGCCCGCCGAGACCCAAAUCCGGUGGGCCGCGAGGAGUCGGAGCGUGAUCCAUGGCGUUCUGGGUCUUGUUGUCGACCACCUUGCUUUCUUCCCUUCUAUCCCUGGUACCCUUCUCCGCUGUCGCGGCCGUGAUCUCGGGGCGGCGGGGGAGGCGGAGGGCGGUGGGGUUCUUCCAUUCUUACACCAACGACGGCGGUCGCGGGGAGAGGGUCCUGUGGUGCGCCCUGAGAGCCGUGCAGGAAGAGAACCCCGAUCUCGGCUACGCCGUCUUUACUAGUCAUUUACAUUAUGAAAUUGCAUUCUGCUAUCCAGGUGCAAUGUGGUGUACUAUACAAUAUUUAGUUGGUUGUAUGGGUCGGUGGGAUCCUGUGCACAUCUUGCAAUGGUAAACUCCUCAUGGGCCAGGUCACAUAUAGAUUGUCUGUGGAAGAUUCCUCCACUCACUAAGAGAGUGUACCCUCCCUGUGAUACUUCAUCCCUUCAGGGACUUGGUCCAACUUCUGGGAGGUGCUGUUGCCGGACUUCACUCCAUGAUUGAGAGCAUUUUGGAAUUAGUGUCGUAGAGUACAUGGCAUCUGGUGUGGUACCAAUUGCGGGUCAUAAUUCAGCAGGUCCCAAGAUGGACAUAAUUUUGAAUGAAGGUGGACGUAAAACAGGAUUUCUAGGAUCAAACAAAGAGGAAUAUACCGAAGCUAUCCUCAAAGUGAUUAAGAUGCCAGAGGCAGAGAGACUAGCAAUAGCUGCAGCUGCUAGAAAGCACGCUCAAAAGUUUUCAGAGCAGAAAUUCUUCGAGGAAUUCAAAGCUGCAGUUCAGCCUAUUCUAGCACCCAAAUCUUCUUCAUGAACUUGAUUCAAUGAUACUGUAUUCUUCUCGGAUGAUAACAUUUUCUAUGCAUGCUGAGCAUGUUCUGUGGGUAAUAAUUU